GAGGGCAUAGCUCAGUGGUAGAGUGCAUGCCUAGCAUGUACAAGGUCCUGGCUUCGAUCCCCUGUACCUCCA
This 72-nucleotide transfer RNA is filed under the name Camelus bactrianus (Bactrian camel). It matches the Rfam family "tRNA". Rfam says of the family: Transfer RNA (tRNA) molecules are approximately 80 nucleotides in length. Their secondary structure includes four short double-helical elements and three loops (D, anti-codon, and T loops). Lineage: Eukaryota; Metazoa; Chordata; Mammalia; Artiodactyla; Camelidae. The record is from Rfam by way of RNAcentral. RNAcentral also lists the same sequence under 1 other name.